AAUAAUAAUUAAUUAAUCAAAAUUGAUUUGUGAAAAAAUAUAUAUAAAAUUAUAGAGAGUUUUUAAUUAUCAUGGGAGAAAAAAAAGAAAGGUUAUUUGUUUGAAAGCCAUGUAAUCGUUACUUAAAAAAGGGAAAUUUGCAAAACUACCCUUCUUUUACUACCUUUUGCAACAAUACCCUUUUAUGUUGUCCAUUUUUAAAAAUACCCUUCUUUUGAACAGAAUGACCAAAUUACUCUCAUCUAAUAGGAACAAGUAAUUGGAAACUGAAAUUUUCAAACAAAUUUUUUUGGCGCCAAAAUGUUUUUUUCCCGCCAAAAAAUAAAUACCGCCAAACUUUUUUCCCACCAAAAA
RNAcentral lists this small RNA (354 nucleotides) under Arabidopsis thaliana (thale cress). Its description in RNAcentral is "ATSL196730". Lineage: Eukaryota; Viridiplantae; Streptophyta; Magnoliopsida; Brassicales; Brassicaceae. The record is from RNAcentral.